Oncorhynchus tshawytscha (Chinook salmon) is the source of this 4101-nucleotide long non-coding RNA. RefSeq lists it as uncharacterized. The transcript has 2 exons. The record is from RefSeq and is a predicted model, not a curated record. Lineage: Eukaryota; Metazoa; Chordata; Actinopteri; Salmoniformes; Salmonidae.
UGGUGUCUCUCUGCUCAGGAUCACCUGGCGUCUCUCUGCUCAGGAUCACCUGGCCCUCUCUGCUCUGGCUGAAAAACAUUGUCAUGUAAGGUGUUCAGGAAAUGAAGGAGAUGGGCAGUGUUGUAUGGUUCAAGGGCGGCAUGGCGGUGGAGGACCCCAUUAUGGCUCAUGGCUGGGCAUGUGGUGACAUUUCCCCUGUGCUGGCCAGGCACCUUAAUGAUGGCACGUUGACCAAUCAAUGAUUCUCUAAAAUGACAGAAAAUACUACAAUUGCUGUACAGUAAAGAUCACUGGCAACAUCAAUGAGUCCUCUAAUGUUUCUAGAGUGUAAUACCAGAACAUUACUCACUUGCACAUACUGUAUUCCUACUGUUUAUCCUUCAAUCUUUGGUGAUUCCUUUCCAAUACGACUCUGUAGAUGUGCUUCAUCUGGAGAUGGUGUUUGUUAAGGAUGGGGUCUGUGUGUGUGUGUGUGUGUUCCUUUCCAAUAUGACUCUGUAGAUGUGCUUCAUAUGGAGAUGGUGUUUGUUAAGAAUGGGGGCUGUGGUUGAUAAACUCACUCUGAUGUUAUGGAAGAUGGCAGGGUUACAGCCUCCUGUUUGUCUGUAAAUAGACGUGUUCUACCACCAUGUACGUGGUGGUCGUCUUUCGGUUCCAUAACAACUAAAUAGCACACAGUCCAGUAAACACUACAGUAAUACAGUAUACAAGAUAAACAUGUUACAAAGUAGUACAGCUCCCAAUUUCAUACAUACAGUAAUACAUAAACCAUUUACUUUGUUUCUCUUUACAGUAUGUAUUGGAAUCUACAGUCUUUACUGUGCUUUAUGUUGUACUACUGUCAAGUAGUAAAAGUAGUACAGAGGUCCAAUGUCUGCAGUACAAAGCUCUUCUCAUUUUGGAACGUCCGUAUGAUGGAUGCUACGGGGAAGUGGCUCAGAUUGGGCUGCACUCUCUGCCCAGCCUCUCUCAAGGUCAAACCAUGGUUGACCACAUGGUCUGCCCAGCCUCUCUCAAGGUCAAGCCAUGGUUGACCACAUGGUCUGCCCAGCCUCUCUCAAGGUCAAGCCAUGGUUGACCACAUGGUCUGCCCAGCCUCUCUCAAGGUCAAGCCAUGGUUGACCACAUGGUCUGCUCACCCUCUCUCAAGGUCAAGCCAUGGUUGACCACAUGGUCUGCUCAGCCUUUCUCAAGGUCAAACCAUGGUUGACCACAUGGUCUGCUCACCCUCUCUCAAGGUCAAACCAUGGUUGACCACAUGGUCCACCACAGUCGCCGAGACUCUUCUCCUUGUUCUUGGUCUUCCUUAUUCCUCACCUCUAUCUCCAACUCUCCCUGCUAAGUUUGCUUCCAUUGUUCUCCAAACACAGGAGUACUCACCUGUGGUCUUGUUGUCCAUACCAAAAGGUUUGAGUGCAAAGUUGAACAUUCAUGCAAAUAGUGUUUGAACAUGUGGAGAGUGAAAAUGAUCAAUUGGUAAUUGAGCUUAGCUUGUUGAACAGUGUUGCUUUUUAUUUGAACACAAGAGAUUUUAGUUGUGAAGGUUAUGCCAAAAUGUAGAGAAUUGUGUGUUGUGUUUUGCCAAAUGUUUGUUAUAUAAUUUCAAUCUGUGCCAGUAGUAUUGCAGAUUUGGUGUCUGGUUCUGCUAAAUGGGCUACAUAUUUGGGUCAUUGUGCCUCAUGGGCCAGUUUUAGUGUGUUAACAAUUGGGAAAAACUGUCAGUAUUAUUUUGCAGACCCUGUGACAAUGUGAAAGAAAACCUUUCAAACUCAGGCUCAAUGGUUGUGUGUUGUUUCCCAUAGUGACAAUAAAGUAAAAUUCUACACACAAACCAUAUUUUGGUAUUUAUUUAAUUAGUCCAUUGUUGAUAUAAUCCCAACAUGUUUUGCUAGUCAGCAAUCAAGUUUUAAAGAUAUAUAACUUUCCAAAUACAGAAAUACAGCCGCUAUGAUGCAAGUUGAAUUAUAUAUUGCAAAACGCUGCAUCAUGUAAUUCAAAAUGCAUCACAACGUCUGUAUUUCCAAAAAGCAUUUUGGUGUAAUUUUCCUUUAAGUGCUGAGAGGGAAUGUAUUUAAUCAUCAUUCAGCUGUACUUAUUGACAGUAGCCAGACACACAGAUGUCCUGUAUAACAAAAUAUUCAUUAGGUCAACAGUUGACCCCAAAGCAAAGGCAACAAUUUCCUAAAUGAUAGAUACUUGUGGCACUAUUGUGAGACCAGACACUGAGUUUUAAAGGUUUUCCACAGACAAAUAUACCCUUCCCCUUUAAAGACAGUAGUCAUCUACCCUUCCCCUUUAAAGACAGUAGUCAUCUACCCUUCCCCUUUAAAGACAGUAGUCAUUUACCCUUCCCCUUUACAGACAGUAUUAAUCUACCCUUCCCCUUUAUAGACAGUAUUCAUUGACCCUUCCCCUUUACAGACAGUAUUAAUCUACCCUUCCCCUUAAUAGACAGUAGUCAUCUACCCUUCCCCUUGAAAGACAGCAGUCAUUUACCCUUCCCCAUUACAGACAGUAUUAAUCUACCCUUCCCCUUAAUAGACAGUAUUCAUUGACCCUUCCCCUUUACAGACAGUAUUAAUUGACCCUUCCCCUUUACAGACAGUAGUCAUCUACCCUUCCCCUUUAAAGACAGUAUUCAUUGACCCUUCCCCUUUACAGACAGUAUUAAUUGACCCUUCCCCUUUACAGACAGUAUUAAUUGACCCUUCCCCUUUACAGACAGUAUUAAUUGACCCUUCCCCUUUACAGACAGUAUUAAUUGACCCUUCCCCUUUACAGACAGUAUUAAUUGACCCUUCUCCUUUACAGACAGUAUUCAUUGACCCUUCCCCUUUACAGACAGUAUUAAUCUACCCUUCCCCUUAAUAUAGAGUAUUCAUUGACCCUUCCCCUUUACAGACAGCAUUAAUUGACCCUUCCCCUUUACAGACAGUAGUCAUCUACCCUUCCCCUUUAAAGACAGUAUUCAUUGACCCUUCCCCUUUACAGACAGUAUUAAUUGACCCUUCCCCUUUACAGACAGUAUUAAUUGACCCUUCCCUUUUACAGACAGUAUUAAUUGACCCUUCCCCUUUACAGACAGUAUUAAUCUACCCUUCCCCUUAAUAGACUGUAUUAAUUGACCCUUCCCCUUUAUAGACCGUAUUAAUUGACCCUUCCCCUUUAUAGUCAGUAUUCAUUGACCCUUCCCCUUAAUAGACAGUAUUCAUUGACCCUUCCCCUUAAUAGACAGUAUUCAUUGACCCUUCCCCUUAAUAGACAGUAUUCAUUGACCCUUCCCCUUUAUAGACUGUAGUCAUUGACCCUUCCCCUUUACAGACAGUAUUCAUUGACCCUUCCCCUUUACAGACAGUAUUCAUUGACCCUUCCCCUUAAUAGACAGUAUUCAUUGACCCUUCCCCUUUACAGACAGUAUUCAUUGACCCUUCCCCUUUACAGACAGUAUUCAUUGACCCUUCCCCUUUAUAGACAGUAUUCAUUGACCCUUCCCCUUUACAGACAGUAUUAAUUGACCCUUCCCCUUUACAGACAGUAUUAAUUGACCCUUCCCCUUUACAGACAGUAUUAAUCUACCCUUCCCCUUUACAGACAGUAUUAAUUGACCCUUCCCCUUUACAGACAGUAUUAAUUGACCCUUCCCCUUUACAGACAGUAUUAAUCUACCCUUCCCCUUAAUAGACCGUAUUAAUUGACCCUUCCCCUUUACAGACAGUAUUCAUUGACCCUUCCCCUUUGCAGACAGUAUUAAUUGACCCUUCCCCUUUACAGACAGUAUUAAUCUACAUUUCCCCUUAAUAGACAGUAUUCUUUGAUCCUUCCCCUUUAUAGACUGUAGUCAUCUACCCUUCCCCUUUAAAGACAGUAUUCACUGACCCUUCCCCUUUAAAGACAGUAUUCAUUGACCCUUCCCCUUUAAAGACAGUAUUCAUUGACCCUUCCCCUUUAUAGACAGUAUUCAUUGACCCUUCCCCAUUGCACCCAUGCUGUUAACCCUCUAGUUUACCAAAACCGCUGAAUGAUGUGUCUACUGUGUGAUUGAUACCUAAGAAUCCUUCAGCAUCAAUAUACCAUUUAACAAAACAACAGCCGUAUAUGAAG